GAUAUUUUACUGUAGUUGCGCUCGUGGAAUGAAAGAGACAAGAAUUUACACAAACAAAAUGCAUUUGUUUUCCUCGUUUGCUUUAUGCGUUGAUUUUGUUCACUUCUGUACAACAUCUAAUCGCUGGAAGAGUCUUUUGUGUAAACAUUUAUUAAAAAAGUGGAAAAGAAUUAAUAAAUAAAUCAAAUUAAUAUAAACAGACUCCGUAAGAGUGAAAGGGAAGCUAACAUUGCAAAGUUAGCGUUGUGCAGGAAAGAUAACAGAUAACAGCAAUGAAAUCGAUUCUCCAGCCAGCUGGCGUUUUGAGCGGCUUAAACUUUAUUUUGAGUGAGGAAAUUGUUCUAGCCUAUAACGUAAGGGAAGAAGGCCCUUAGGACCCACAAAGAAUUUUUUGCAGCUUUGCUAGAAUGUAUUCCGCCUGGCGAUGAGCCCCCCGAAAACACUGUGCGGAAGGCAAUGCAAAGGAUGAAGAAAAGGGUGUUUAAGAAGAAGUGUCUUGCCAAAAACCAGAAGUAG
Molecule: long non-coding RNA, 516 nt
Organism: Drosophila miranda
Lineage: Eukaryota; Metazoa; Arthropoda; Insecta; Diptera; Drosophilidae
Exons: 3
Source: RefSeq, a predicted model, not a curated record